CCAUGCAGUCGGACGGUAGCACAGAGAGCUUGCUCUCGGGUGACGAGUGGCGGACGGGUGAGUAAUGUCUGGGGAUCUGCCCGAUAGAGGGGGAUAACCACUGGAAACGGUGGCUAAUACCGCAUAACGUCGCAAGACCAAAGAGGGGGACCUUCGGGCCUCUCACUAUCGGAUGAACCCAGAUGGGAUUAGCUAGUAGGCGGGGUAAUGGCCCACCUAGGCGACGAUCCCUAGCUGGUCUGAGAGGAUGACCAGCCACACUGGAACUGAGACACGGUCCAGACUCCUACGGGAGGCAGCAGUGGGGAAUAUUGCACAAUGGGCGCAAGCCUGAUGCAGCCAUGCCGCGUGUAUGAAGAAGGCCUUCGGGUUGUAAAGUACUUUCAGCGGGGAGGAAGGCGAUGCGGUUAAUAACCGCGUCGAUUGACGUUACCCGCAGAAGAAGCACCGGCUAACUCCGUGCCAGCAGCCGCGGUAAUACGGAGGGUGCAAGCGUUAAUCGGAAUUACUGGGCGUAAAGCGCACGCAGGCGGUCUGUUAAGUCAGAUGUGAAAUCCCCGGGCUUAACCUGGGAACUGCAUUUGAAACUGGCAGGCUUGAGUCUUGUAGAGGGGGGUAGAAUUCCA
RNAcentral lists this ribosomal RNA (626 nucleotides) under Pantoea vagans. RNAcentral's name for it is "bacterial SSU rRNA". It matches the Rfam family "Bacterial small subunit ribosomal RNA", at positions 53 to 671 of the family's 1533-position model. The record is from RNAcentral. Lineage: Bacteria; Pseudomonadati; Pseudomonadota; Gammaproteobacteria; Enterobacterales; Erwiniaceae.